GAAAAGGGUUGCAGAUUAAUUUUAAUUUUUUCACGAUUUUAAUACGAAAUUAAGCCGUUUAAGAGAUUAUUUAAUUUUUUUUUAUGGAAAAAAAAAUAAAACCACAAAGUUGUUAAUCGUCUUAACAGCUGCCCGAAAAAUAAAAAAAAAACUUUUUUCGUUAUAAAUACCUCAACAAUUGAUAAAAUUCAUGAAAAUACAAAAAAUGAGCAAAUAUAGUAUAAACUUAGACAGGCGACCCACAUUCUCAGUUACGAACGUGCCAUGCAUAUACAAACACGUUGCUUGUCGUUGCGCUGCUGCUGCAGAAGCAUAAUCAUCAUCUGAACUGACUCGAGCAGCAAAAAGUCGUAACAUGAUCUUCAGAUUGAAAUUGAACUCCCGAGAAUCGGAGAAAUUUGAGAACGCAAAAAAGCUCUCAAAAAUAUUUGCUGGAUGACGUGACGGAUUAACGAUUGUUCAAAUAAAACUUCUGAAGAGUCUCGAAGAUGAAGAAAUUGUAAGAAGGACGUAAAUAUUGACUUUUUUCUUUGUUGUUGUUUUGUCGUUCCGCUGCUUCCACAAAUAAAAAAUAUUGACAUAA
Culicoides brevitarsis is the source of this 583-nucleotide long non-coding RNA. RefSeq lists it as uncharacterized. The record is from RefSeq and is a predicted model, not a curated record. The transcript is spliced from 2 exons. NCBI's taxonomy places the organism in Eukaryota, Metazoa, Arthropoda, Insecta, Diptera, Ceratopogonidae.